AUUGAACGCUGGCGGCAGGCCUAACACAUGCAAGUCGAGCGGAGCGACGGACGGGCGGGUAAGGCCUAUGUAUCUGCCUGCUAGUGGGGGAUACCGUCCGGAAAGGGACGCUAAUACCUACUACUUUCAGUUGAGCCUCGGGUGGAUUAGCUAGCUGGUGGGGUAAAGGCCUACCAACGCGACGAUCCGUAACUGGUCUGAGAGGAUGAUCAGUCACCCUGGAACGUAGACACGGUCCAGACUCCUACGGGAGGCAGCAGUGGGGAAUAUUGGACAAGGGGCGAAAGCCUGAUCCAGCCAUGCCGCGUGUGUGAAGAAGGUCUUCGGAUUGUAAAGCACUUUAAGUUGGGAGGCGUUACCAACAGAAUAAGCACCGGCUAACUUCGUGCCAGCCGCCGCGGUAAUUC
Molecule: ribosomal RNA, 407 nt
Filed under: uncultured bacterium
Lineage: Bacteria
Description: partial 16S ribosomal RNA
Rfam family: Bacterial small subunit ribosomal RNA
Source: RNAcentral